RNAcentral lists this ribosomal RNA (700 nucleotides) under uncultured Alphaproteobacteria bacterium. RNAcentral's name for it is "bacterial SSU rRNA". It matches the Rfam family "Bacterial small subunit ribosomal RNA", at positions 94 to 829 of the family's 1533-position model. Lineage: Bacteria; Pseudomonadati; Pseudomonadota; Alphaproteobacteria. The record is from RNAcentral.
AGCGGCGGACGGGUGAGUAACGCGUGGGAAUGUACCCUUCUCUAAGGAAUAGCCACUGGAAACGGUGAGUAAUACCUUAUACGCCCUUCGGGGGAAAGAUUUAUCGGAGAAGGAUCAGCCCGCGUUGGAUUAGAUAGUUGGUGGGGUAAUGGCCUACCAAGUCUACGAUCCAUAGCUGGUUUGAGAGGAUGAUCAGCCACACUGGGACUGAGACACGGCCCAGACUCCUACGGGAGGCAGCAGUGGGGAAUCUUAGACAAUGGGGGAAACCCUGAUCUAGCCAUGCCGCGUGAGUGAUGAAGGCCUUAGGGUCGUAAAGCUCUUUCGCCAGGGAUGAUAAUGACAGUACCUGAUAAAGAAACCCCGGCUAACUCCGUGCCAGCAGCCGCGGUAAUACGGAGGGGGUUAGCGUUGUUCGGAAUUACUGGGCGUAAAGCGCACGUAGGCGGACUAGUCAGUCAGAGGUGAAAUCCCAGGGCUCAACCCUGGAACUGCCUUUGAUACUGCUAGUCUUGAGUUCGAGAGAGGUGAGUGGAAUUCCGAGUGUAGAGGUGAAAUUCGUAGAUAUUCGGAGGAACACCAGUGGCGAAGGCGGCUCACUGGCUCGAUACUGACGCUGAGGUGCGAAAGUGUGGGGAGCAAACAGGAUUAGAUACCCUGGUAGUCCACACCGUAAACGAUGAAUGCCAGUCGUCGGCAA